AACGAACGCUGGCGGCAUGCCUAACACAUGCCAGUCGAACGAGACCUUCGGGUCUAGUGGCGCACGGGUGCGUAACGCGUGGGAACCUGCCCUUAGGUUCGGAAUAACUCCCCGAAAGGGGUGCUAAUACCGGCUAAUGUCUUCGGACCAAAGAUUUAUCGCCUUUGGAUGGGCCCGCGUUGGAUUAGCUAGUUGGUAGGGUAAAAGCCUACCAAGGCGACGAUCCAUAGCUGGUCUGAGAGGAUGAUCAGCCACACUGGGACUGAGACACGGCCCAGACUCCUACGGGAGGCAGCAGUGGGGAAUAUUGGACAAUGGGCGAAAGCCUGAUCCAGCAAUGCCGCGUGAGUGAUGAAGGCCUUAGGGUUGUAAAGCUCUUUUACCCGGGAUGAUAAUGACAGUACCGGGAGAAUAAGCUCCGGCUAACUCCGUG
RNAcentral lists this ribosomal RNA (433 nucleotides) under uncultured bacterium. RNAcentral's name for it is "partial 16S ribosomal RNA". It matches the Rfam family "Bacterial small subunit ribosomal RNA", at positions 29 to 507 of the family's 1533-position model. The record is from RNAcentral.